Molecule: ribosomal RNA, 480 nt
Filed under: uncultured bacterium
Lineage: Bacteria
Description: bacterial SSU rRNA
Rfam family: Bacterial small subunit ribosomal RNA
Source: RNAcentral
AGAGUUUGAUCUUGGCUCAGGAUAAACGCUGGCGGCGCACAUAAGACAUGCAAGUCGAACGGACUUAACCAUUAGUUUACUAUUGGAGCGGUUAGUGGCGGACUGGUGAGUAACACGUAAGCAACCUGCCUGUUAGAGGGGAACAACAGUUAGAAAUGACUGCUAAUACCGCAUAUGCCUUAGUUAUCGCAUGAUAAUAGAGGGAAAGGAGCAAUCCGCUAACAGAUGGGCUUGCGUCUGAUUAGAUAGUUGGUGUGGUAACGGCAUACCAAGUCGACGAUCAGUAGCCGGACUGAGAGGUUGAACGGCCACAUUGGGACUGAGAUACGGCCCAGACUCCUACGGGAGGCAGCAGUCGGGAACAUUGCGCAAUGGAGGAAACUCUGACGCAGUGACGCCGCGUGCAGGAAGAAGGUUUUCGGAUUGUAAACUGCUUUAGACAGGGAAGAAACAAGACAGUACCUGUAAGAUAAGCUCCGG